Molecule: ribosomal RNA, 470 nt
Filed under: uncultured Planctomycetaceae bacterium
Lineage: Bacteria; Pseudomonadati; Planctomycetota; Planctomycetia; Planctomycetales; Planctomycetaceae
Description: bacterial SSU rRNA
Rfam family: Bacterial small subunit ribosomal RNA
Source: RNAcentral
AACGAACGCUGGCGGCAGGCCUAACACAUGCAAGUCGAGCGCGCCCUUCGGGGUGAGCGGCGGACGGGUGAGUAACGCGUGGGAACGUGCCCUUUGGUUCGGAAUAGCCCUGGGAAACUGGGAGUAAUACCGGGCGACGUAGCGGGGCGGCAUCGUUCUGCUACCAAAUGAAUUUCGCCCUGAGAGGGGCCCAUGUGAUAUUAGCUAGUUGGUGAGGUAACGGCUCACCAAGGCGAAGAUGUCUAGCGGGUGUGAGAGCACGACCCGCGCCACUGGCACUGAGACACUGGCCAGACACCUACGGGUGGCUGCAGUCGAGGAUCUUCGGCAAUGAGCGAAAGCUUGACCGAGCGACGCCGCGUGUGCGAUGAAGGCCUUCGGUUGUAAAGCACUGUCGAGAGGGAGAAAGGGAAACUUGAUCUAUCUCUGGAGGAAGCACGGGCUAAGUUCGUGCCAGCAGCCGCGGUAAU